This 301-nucleotide ribosomal RNA is filed under the name uncultured bacterium. Its description in RNAcentral is "partial 16S ribosomal RNA". It matches the Rfam family "Bacterial small subunit ribosomal RNA", at positions 509 to 807 of the family's 1533-position model. The record is from RNAcentral.
CAGUAGCCGCGGUAAUACGUAGGGUGCAAGCGUUAAUCGGAAUUACUGGGCGUAAAGCGUGCGCAGGCGGUUUGUUAAGACAGAUGUGAAAUCCCCGGGCUCAACCUGGGAACUGCAUUUGUGACUGGCAAGCUAGAGUGUGGCAGAGGGGGGUGGAAUUCCGCGUGUAGCAGUGAAAUGCGUAGAUAUGCGGAGGAACACCGAUGGCGAAGGCAGCCCCCUGGGCCAACACUGACGCUCAUGCACGAAAGCGUGGGGAGCAAACAGGAUUAGAUACCCCUGUAGUCCCUGUCUCUUAUAC